This 1076-nucleotide long non-coding RNA is filed under the name Anser brachyrhynchus (Pink-footed goose). RNAcentral's name for it is "lncRNA (ENSABRG00000022086.1)". Lineage: Eukaryota; Metazoa; Chordata; Aves; Anseriformes; Anatidae. The record is from RNAcentral.
AUGUAGAGCUACUUGAAAUUUUGCUUUUAAACUCUUCCCAAUGAUGUCUUAUUUCAAAACAAGAUGGAAGUUUUUCAGGACUGAAACUUUCCCCAGUUUUUGUUGAACCUCUCUCAAAAUCUCCAGAUUUCAACAGAAACAGUCAUACUGCACCCCACUUUGAAAGUUUCUUUUGAAUUCCUGUGAGGAAAUCUGUGAUUUUUAUUUGUGCGUCAUCUUGACUUCAAAGGUGUAGGAAAACAUUUCAGAACCCAUGGGUUUGGUCAACGGGCCUAGUUUGGUUGCUGAUCGGGACGAUGUGUCCUCAGACUGCUACAAAACCAGAGCUGCAGAAAAAUGCAGCUGAUGCGACCGAUGCUGACUCAACUCCAGGGGAUGGAAACGCAAGCCAGAUUGAAGCCAGAGGCAAAAGGUUUCCUGCAAGAGUCAUUGGACUGUGUCUGGAGAAGACGUUCCUCCUCAGGAAGGACAGGAGGUGCCCGUGGUCAAGGCUGGGGCAAGUGCCGGGGUCAGAGGAAUACCUGGACCAAGCCAUUGCAGAGCAUCCUGAGGCAACGAUGCUUCUUUUGUAUACCUGUUUAUUGCAAUUGCAAGCUUUGGAUGAAAAGCACUUUGUCUUCAUGUGUGCCACUUCAUCAACUAGCAAAUUGGAGUCAGGGAGCAAAUAUAUGGAGACCAAACACAGGUUAUUCUGCACUGCAUAGGUACGUGUGUGCAUACAUAUCCUUAUGCAAGUGCACGCUAUCUCUCCAGUAACCUUUUCUGUCCCUUCUUAGCUUUGUCAAUGUCAAGGUAAAAAUGUGUUCUCUUUGUUUCUUGUCUUUUUAAGCAGUUUUCCUGGCCCGUUGUUCUUCAUUUUUCAUUUGAUUUGAAUCUAAGCUGUGAGGAAGAUGAACCUUUCACCUGCUGAAGAACAUCACUCUUGUGAAUAAGAAUCUAUAUUAAAAGAUGUUAAAAUUCUCUGCAGAAAUGAGUGUUUUAAAGGUAGUUAGAUCUAUUGCCUUUCAAAUCUGACUUUUCAUAUUGCAUUAUAUUGCUCAGUAUAAUGUGUGAAACAUGUAAAGGGUAUAUCAGAG